AAGACAUUUAAUACUGACCGUAUCAGGAUCCCUCUUAAGUGAGUGCCCAAUAUGAUAGUCCACUAGGGGCUAUUAAAAUUGAUACCUCCCUUAAUCGACCAUCUCUGACAUUCCUCCCUAAUGCUUGUCCUCAAGAUGGACCAGCCGGAAACAUGGUUACAAAGCUUCAAGAUCGUCCUAAGAAAAUCAGACCAUUCAACCAGAACUUGAGGUAAAAUGGUGGUUCCUUCAAUGAUGAUUUGCUUCUGAAGAAUAUGCACUAGAAACUGGUACCCAUACAAGGAAUGGGGGAGGGAUGCCAUUGUAGGUGAAUGGUAUGAUAUGCUAGCACAUAAUAUUAAUCUAUAGCAUUCAACUAAGAUAGUCUGAGAGUAGGUGAUUAUAGAUUGAUACUACUUGUUGUACAACGCAGCAGCACAAGAAGAGUUCGAGCAGUUCGGCCUAACGUCGUGCACGUCGAUGUAGUGGAAGUAGGUGGGUAUCCUCAUGCCUUGCAACAAUAACACAUAUGCCCGCCUGUCCAUUUGCCUCACUUUCAUCGCCGUCACAACAACAGCAGCAACGUCUCCAAAAUAUCCAUGCAUGUAGAGAUGGAAUGUAGGUUGAUAGACAUCAGUUUGCUAUCAUCGGGCAUGCGGCCUAGAGGGAGAGAGCGGGCAGCAGCUAGGGUAUAGGGGAGAACGAGGCAUGUAUUUUCCAUGAUCCUCACCCCUCAUUAUAUAGAUCCCACUAAUAUGCUUCCACCCUAGAGGACCAUUAUGACUAAUAGAACCAAUCCAUAAGUAUCAUUGCCUCUUCAGCACGUCACCAACAAUCUCCCGCUUGCACUAAAGUCAAUCAUCCAUGCAACUGUUCCAACACUUUAAGUGUGUGAUCCAUUAGAUUCAUGUACAGACGGCCAUGACAGAAAACCAUUUUUUGAGUUAUUAGUCAAUAGCAAUAUCUAGUGGUACAGAUUGAAUCAUUAAUACACACAAUGAUCAUAUCAGCUGAACCUUACUCAUGUCUCAAUCCUUUUGCCACAAACAAUGCUUGCAAAUUAACACGUGUCAGAGAUCUCCUGAAGGCUACAUUUAACGGUAUUAUAGACAUUACUGAUCUUACUGAUGCAUUUUUCUUUCUCACGACAUUAAAAAGUGUGGGACAUUGCGAUUUUAGUGGACACGCCCUUAUCCACGAGUCCUCCCAAAACCGCACUUGAGAUCCGUCACCUAGAUCAAACUUGCCUAAUGAGAGAAACUCCAUCUUGACGUUCAUAAGGCUAGGCCAAAAUUGAGAAUCCCCAGGCAUGUGUUGAGCCUACACUAGUACAACAGCUCACUAUACUAGCGCCCCUGUUUUUUGUACAAGCGGUUCUCACAGACCAGGCGCCAGUGUAAAGAAAACGGUGGGACCAGAGAAAUAAACCGCCUCUGUAAAACAUUUUCUGCAGCCGCUUAACUUUGGGAACCGCUUGUGUAAAUGUGAACUUUAUUGAAGCGGC
RNAcentral lists this long non-coding RNA (1483 nucleotides) under Sorghum bicolor (sorghum). Its description in RNAcentral is "long non-coding RNA (SBIC_LNC015403)". Lineage: Eukaryota; Viridiplantae; Streptophyta; Magnoliopsida; Poales; Poaceae. The record is from RNAcentral.